CAAUAGCGUAUAUUUAAGUUGCUGCAGUUAAAAAGCUCGUAGUUGGAUUUCGGGUGGGAAUGGCCGGUCCGCCGUUUCGGUGUGCACUUGCUACGCCCACCUUGCUGCCGGGGACGUGCUCUUGAGUUCACGCUCGGGACACGGAGUCGGCGAGGUUACUUUGAGUAAAUUAGAGUGUUCAAAGCAGGCCUACGCUCUGAAUACAUUAGCAAGGAAUAACACGAUAGGACUCUGGCCUAUCUUGUUGGUCUGUAGGACCGGAGUAAUGAUUAAGAGGGACAGUCGGGGGCAUUCGUAUUUCAUUGUCAGAGGUGAAAUUCUUGGAUUUAUGAAAGACGAACUACUGCGAAAGCAUUUGCCAAGGAUGUUUUCAUUAA
This 377-nucleotide ribosomal RNA is filed under the name uncultured eukaryote. Its description in RNAcentral is "partial 18S ribosomal RNA". It matches the Rfam family "Eukaryotic small subunit ribosomal RNA", at positions 592 to 976 of the family's 1831-position model. The record is from RNAcentral.